CGAACGGGAUCUGCGUGGCCUUUUGGUUGUGUGGUGAGAGUGGCGAACGGGUGAGUAACACGUGAGUAACCUGCCUUUUUCUUUGGGAUAACGCUCAGAAAUGAGUGCUAAUACUGGAUGUUCUGCGCUUUCCGCAUGGGGGGUGUGGGAAAGGGGCUUUUUAAGUUUCUGGAGGGAGAUGGGCUCGCGGCUUAUCAGCUUGUUGGUGGGGUGAUGGCUUACCAAGGCUUUGACGGGUAGCCGGCCUGAGAGGGUGGGCGGUCACAUUGGGACUGAGAUACGGCCCAGACUCCUACGGGAGGCAGCAGUGGGGAAUUUUGCACAAUGGGGGGAACCUUGAUGCAGCGACGCCGCGUGAGGGAUGGAGGCCUUCGGGUUGUGAACCUCUUUCGCUCGUGUGCAAGCCGCUAUUUGGGUAGUGGUGAGUGUAGCGGGUAAAGAAGCGCCGGCUAACUACGUGCCAGCAGCCGCGGUAAUACGUAGGGCGCGAGCGUUGUCCGGAUUUAUUGGGCGUAAAGGGCUUGUAGGCGGUUUGUCGCGCCUGUCGUGUAAUCCUCUGGCUUAACUGGGGGUGUGCGGUGGGUACGGGCAGGCUUGAGUGCGGUAGGGGAGAUUGGAAUUCCUGGUGUAGCGGUGGAAUGCGCAGAUAUCAGGAGGAACACCGGUGGCGAAGGCGGGUCUCUGGGCCGUUACUGACGCUGAGGAGCGAAAGCGUGGGGAGCGAACAGGAUUA
Molecule: ribosomal RNA, 733 nt
Filed under: uncultured Actinomycetales bacterium
Lineage: Bacteria; Bacillati; Actinomycetota; Actinomycetes; Actinomycetales
Description: bacterial SSU rRNA
Rfam family: Bacterial small subunit ribosomal RNA
Source: RNAcentral